Molecule: long non-coding RNA, 1288 nt
Organism: Hemibagrus wyckioides
Lineage: Eukaryota; Metazoa; Chordata; Actinopteri; Siluriformes; Bagridae
Exons: 3
Source: RefSeq, a predicted model, not a curated record
ACGUCCCACCCCUUCCGCAGCAUUUUCUCCCUUUUUAAAAAAAAACAAAACAAAAAACAUUUGUUUACUCGUUUGUUUGUUUAUUCAAUUAUUCCUUAACUGGCAAUUUACUUAAAAAGAAAUAAAAUGAAGUAUUUAGACACACAGAUGGUCCUGAGUUCAGAUCCCAGCAUCGCCCCUGCUGGACCCUCGUGCACGCCUCUGGACACAGAAACAGAAGUAUGGGGUGAUGAGCGCCAUGUGGACGGCAGGACUCUCCGGAACAUUCUGGAGAUUUUAGCUAAUAAAACACACAACCUUUCCACCAAAACUCUUCCAGAAGGAGGUGAAUUCUGUUCCAGGAUGUUCCCUGGAGAAGCACGGCUUAUUGUUUACUCGACUUCUACGCUCACCGGAAGAGAAAUGCUAAAAUGAGCUGAAGACUGGAGCUGGAGAAGGAUCCUCAACAAACAUCCACACAACAUCCUGAACGUUCAGGAGUGAUCCUGAAUCCCACAGAAGAUCUGUGGACCAAGUGAGAGCCGUGUGAGAAGCCCUCAGACCUGGGAGAGGUCAACAAAUCCAUCAUUCCAGACAACACCACCAACAAGCAUGUGAGCUUCUGACCUCCUGAAAGCUGGAAGACCUCCUGCACAGCUUACCUACUCAAUUUAAAAAGAGACACUAACUGGAGAUGAACAGCAACGGGACAUGUGGAGCUGUGUGUGUGUUUGAUGCUACUGCUGUGCUCACAUUACAAGCUACAAAAACCCCAAACACACAGUGAUUCACUUCAGUGUCAAUCGAUUCAGAGUCAUUUUCUCAUUGGACUCACCCGAGUGUGUGUUCACCUGAAUACAGAACCCAAGAAGGAGAACACACCAGGGUUUCACUCAAACACAAUUAACACACUCUCUCAUACACACACACCGGUCUGAUACACACCGACUGUUCACACACCUCUCUCACACACACCGCUCUGAUACACACUGACUGUUCUCACACACACACACCGCUCUGAUACACACUGACUGUUCUCACACACACACACACCGCUCUGAUACACACCGACUGUUCACACACCUCUCACACACACCACUCUGAUACACACUGACUGUUCUCACACACACACCGCUCUGAUACACACCGACUGUUCACACACACACACCACUCUGAUACACACCGACUGUUCUCUCACACACACACCGCUCUGAUACACACCGACUGUUCUCUCACACACACACCGCUCUGAUACACACCAACUGUUCACACACCUCUCUGAUACACACCGACUGUUCACACACCUCUC